AUUAGUCAUUACUAGCAAACUAUCAGAUUAUUCAGAAAUAAUAUUGUUUCAGAAAUUAUUGUGCCUCAAGAGUUUCUGUCAGUUGACGAAUUAUCUUUUUAUUUAUAAAAGAUAGUCUUUUGUUGAUUUAGGUAGGGAAAUAAUCUCAGACCAGUCAUACUCAUUUGAUAUUCAUUUCCUUAAUAGAAGCACUAUUGAGAAUUGACUUUCAUUUUCUGCACAGAUAGUCAGAUAUUUACUCUAUUAUUUGGUAGCAGCUAAUUACUGUUCAAUGCCAAUUUUGCUUACCUUAUAUUUCAAAGGAGAGCAUCCAACUGAAUGAGUAUAUUUUGCUAAUUGAAUGAGCAUCAAACUGAAUGAGCACCAAACUGAAUCCAAUUGAUGCAGAGCAUCAGUUAUAUAUUUCCAAGGAGACUAACACACAUUCCAAGCAUCUUGGAAUGAGUAUUUUGCAAAGAAUGAGUGGUGGGCCUGACCAAGGUUGGGCCUCACAACCUUCUCUCUAGAAGGUCUCCACACUCACAUCAUUAGGGUUGUCCAUCACCUAAGAUGUGAGUAUAAAAGAGAUGGACUUCACAAGGAGAGAGACAGAUUAUUAUCAAUUAAUGCUCUAGGUAUUAUUCAGCCGCCUCUCUAUCCUUUGCUUACUUUACUCUCUUGUUCCUAUUCUUUCAUUCCUUACUAUACUUGUGAUCUGAUAUUCUCUAUUUCUAUCCCAUCUUGGUGGAUUCUAAGAUUGCUUUCUCCUCUUUCUAGCAUUGUUCGAGUCUUCGAGAAGAUCCUUCUUCUCGAAAUUUGACAUAAGGAUAUUGCAUGCUGAUUUUUUCUGGACAUAUCAGCAAUAUUAUGUUUCUUCAGUUUGAUGUAGAAUAUAAAUUAUAUAAUGUCACGAUAAACGUAAAUGUUUGGUUUUAAAAAAAAUUCUAAUCUGGCA
RNAcentral lists this long non-coding RNA (934 nucleotides) under Zostera marina. RNAcentral describes it as "long non-coding RNA (ZMAR_LNC001534)". The record is from RNAcentral. Lineage: Eukaryota; Viridiplantae; Streptophyta; Magnoliopsida; Alismatales; Zosteraceae.